GCAACGCGAAGAACCUUACCCAGGCUUGACAUGCAGAUGACCGCUCUAGAAAUAGAGUUUCCUUUCGGGACAUUUGCACAGGUGCUGCAUGGCUGUCGUCAGCUCGUGCCGUGAGGUGUUGGGUUAAGUCCCGCAACGAGCGCAACCCUUAUCAUUAGUUGCCAACAGGUGAAGCUGGGAACUCUAAUGAGACUGCCUGGGUUAACCAGGAGGAAGGUGAGGAUGACGUCAAGUCCGCAUGGCCCUUAUGUCUGGGGCUACACACGUGCUACAAUGGUCGGUACAGAAGGCAGCGAAACCGCGAGGUGAAGCAAAUCCAACAAAGCCGAUCUCAGUUCAGAUUGUAGUCUGCAACUCGACUACAUGAAGACGGAAUUGCUAGUAAUGGCGAGUCAGCAACAUCGCCGUGAAUACGUUCCCGGGUCUU
Molecule: ribosomal RNA, 427 nt
Filed under: uncultured Neochlamydia sp.
Lineage: Bacteria; Pseudomonadati; Chlamydiota; Chlamydiia; Parachlamydiales; Parachlamydiaceae
Description: bacterial SSU rRNA
Rfam family: Bacterial small subunit ribosomal RNA
Source: RNAcentral